RNAcentral lists this non-coding RNA (246 nucleotides) under Aneurinibacillus migulanus. RNAcentral's name for it is "T-box sequence". It matches the Rfam family "T-box leader". Rfam says of the family: Uncharged tRNA acts as the effector for transcription antitermination of genes in the T-box leader family. The record is from RNAcentral. Lineage: Bacteria; Bacillati; Bacillota; Bacilli; Caryophanales; Paenibacillaceae.
ACAAAUUCGAUGACGAGAACAAGUACGUUGUGAAGCUGUUCCCCAGAGAGCCGGUAUUUGCUGAAAGCCGGUGUUCAGUUCGCAGCCGAAUAUCCUCUCCGAGAAGUCAAGCUGAAUUACAGUAAGCUUGAACGGUUGUCUACCGUUAAAAAGAACGCGUAUGAUUGUACGUUGCUGAGUGCUAUUGAUGAACGGGUCGUAAUCAAUAGAAGCCAGGGUGGUACCGCGGGUAAACCCGUCCCUUGU